GACGAACGCUGGCGGCGUGCUUAACACAUGCAAGUCGAACGGAAAGGCCCUGCUUUUGUGGGGUGCUCGAGUGGCGAACGGGUGAGUAACACGUGAGUAACCUGCCCUUGACUUUGGGAUAACUUCAGGAAACUGGGGCUAAUACCGGAUAGUAGCUCCUGCUGCUUGGGUGGGGUUGGAAAGUUUCGGCGGUUGGGGAUGGACUCGCGGGUUAUCAGCUUGUUGGUGGGGUAGUGGCUUACCAAGGCUUGGACGGGUAGCCGGCCUGAGAGGGGGACCGGCCACAGUGGGACUGAGAUACGGCCCAGAGUACUACGGGAGGCAGCAGUGGGGAAUAUUGCACAAUGGGCGGAAGCCUGAUGCAGCAACGCCGCGUGCGGGAUGGCGGACUUCGGGUUGUAAACCGCUUUCGCAUGUGACGAAGCGUGAGUGACGGUAAUGGGUAAAGAAGCACCGGCUAACUACGUG
RNAcentral lists this ribosomal RNA (468 nucleotides) under uncultured bacterium. RNAcentral's name for it is "partial 16S ribosomal RNA". It matches the Rfam family "Bacterial small subunit ribosomal RNA", at positions 28 to 507 of the family's 1533-position model. The record is from RNAcentral.